Molecule: small nuclear RNA, 107 nt
Filed under: Lynx canadensis (Canada lynx)
Lineage: Eukaryota; Metazoa; Chordata; Mammalia; Carnivora; Felidae
Also listed under: 1 other name
Source: RNAcentral
GUGCUCACUUCAGCAGCAAAUAUACUAAAAUUGGAAUGAUACAGAGAAGAUUAGCAUGGCCCUGCAUAAGGAUGACACCCACACUUUUUCAAUCCUAUCAUCCUUUU